AUCCGGCUGAAGAGUCCCAAAAAGGACGAAACAUGUGUCAUAAUGGAU
Molecule: non-coding RNA, 48 nt
Filed under: Schistosoma mattheei
Lineage: Eukaryota; Metazoa; Platyhelminthes; Trematoda; Strigeidida; Schistosomatidae
Source: RNAcentral